This 468-nucleotide long non-coding RNA is filed under the name Helianthus annuus (common sunflower). Its description in RNAcentral is "sRNA HanXRQr2_Chr05g0217921". Lineage: Eukaryota; Viridiplantae; Streptophyta; Magnoliopsida; Asterales; Asteraceae. The record is from RNAcentral.
UGGUCGAACAAGCACGCCAGGGGCGAUCCCCACUCUCUCAAAACCCUAGCUUCACAAAUUUGAUCAAUUGAAGGUUAAUCCUUGUCCCAAAUUGAAAUCUGAACAGUGAUUCGUGAUCCUCAUCACAAGGGGGUUACAAGGAAAGGAUACUGGAACGUCAAGUGAACAAGCUGGUGGUGAUUUGCGGUUGAAGGGUUUGCUCUAAAGGUGAUGAGGUGAAUCUUAUGGAUGACGGUCAAGCAACGUAGAAGAACCGAACACGACUUUUGAAGCUUCCGCAAUGUUUUAAUCUUACUUAGACUUUGUUCACGGGUUGUAAACAAUUUCUUAAUCAACUUUUAAAACGUUCCAACUUAGUCAUUACUUGACUAAAGUUGACGUACUUAUGAACUCCAUUAAGGAAUGUUUUGUUACGUAACCAAUAUUUUAGUUGAAAUGGUGUAUUUUAUUUCUAAAAUCAAAUGUUAA